CUUUAAAGUACUUAAAAUGGGGUCUUGAUAUUACAUUUUAUAUGAAAUAAAGAAGGAACUAAUUUGGUAGUAUGUAACCUGUUUACAUUUUCAAAACGAGUCUCUUUACAUCCGCAUUUUGCCAAACCUAAAUUUUCGUGUAUAAAACUGAUAUAUGAUAGAAUGUGGACUUAACGGAACGUUUUGUGCGAUUUAAAUCAAUAGGAAAUAACUUUUGUCAAAAGACAAGUGAACAUCUGACCAUGAACAAACGUUAGAUUUGCAAAUAAUGAUAGUGAUAUUGGAUGACCUCAAUUCGGAUAGUGUCAUUUUGCGCCAAAAUUGAAUAUGAUAUCGAGAAAGAUGCCUUGUUAUAUGUUGUAUGUCAUUUUCUCGACAGGAAAUUUUGUAUGUUGCGCUAAAAUUUCGGUUGGAAAAAAUAUGGCAAGGUAUUUGUAAUCUACAAGGAUUUGACAGAGUAAACAAUAGAAGUUUGUUACGGGGAAUGUCACGGAAUACAUUUUGGACUCCUAGGCUAUGGAACAGUCGCUUGUUUUAGAAUAAAUUUGGAUCACUAUGGUAAAUUCAUUAUUAUGACAAAAAGUCAGCGUGUGAUGUUUGAUCUUUAUCAUUGAAACAGAGCAAAGGACAAUAUUAACGAGACUGAGGACAGACUGCCUACGGUUGUGUGCGACAGUUAUGGAGGAGGGAAUAGAUAGAAAAUAAAUAAGCUAGAGGUUACAGUUCUGAUACAUAUAGAAUAGUGACAUUCAGUACAGCUUCGCGUCCACAUGUCUUUUGAAUACAGUACAUGCAUGCCGUUGAGAAAUUAUACGAGAACGAACAUCAUUGUUAACAGCACACCUUGCGAAUAGCGUUUGAAUAUACUUCCUGAGGCCCAGACGGGAGGAACACUCAGAAUGACAGCUUUUACUGGACAUGAUACGUAUCAAUUUUGACAUAUCCAUGUAACAUUGACAAAAGAGGAUAUACUAACUCUCUCUUACGAUCGACCAAACACUGUUUUUACUAAAACCUAUUGCAUUACAGAGUCGCAUUUUGUUUGGGUUAGGGAACACUAAAACUCAAACGUUCACAAACACGCAUUACUACAAGUGCGAGAAAAAAUAUAAUAAUAUAUAAUUUUGAGCCUUGUUUUCGGAGAAGGAUAGGGUAAACAAAUUACAUUUAAAUGGCACUUCACUGCAUGUUCUGUUCAAUCAGUUGUUUAUACGAUAAAAAUAAGUAAAAUAACGGUUUCGUGAGUAUCAUGUAAAAAUGUAUAACAAUGUAUCUGUA
Long non-coding RNA from Mercenaria mercenaria, 1278 nucleotides. RefSeq lists it as uncharacterized. The record is from RefSeq and is a predicted model, not a curated record. The transcript is spliced from 4 exons. Lineage: Eukaryota; Metazoa; Mollusca; Bivalvia; Venerida; Veneridae.